This is a long non-coding RNA of Petromyzon marinus (sea lamprey), 1980 nucleotides long. RefSeq lists it as uncharacterized. NCBI's taxonomy places the organism in Eukaryota, Metazoa, Chordata, Hyperoartia, Petromyzontiformes, Petromyzontidae. The record is from RefSeq and is a predicted model, not a curated record.
CAGCAUUUCAGAUGAUUGCCAGAAGGGCUCGUAUAGCCCGCUGGCUGGCUCGCUCGCCAGCCCCGACACGAACAUGUAAACGUUGAUGUCAAAUUCCCCGCGUCUCUGUACGCUCCAAAGCAGCACGUGGAUCGGAUUCAAUUCCCGAAGGGGCUCCCAGUGCGUGGAGUGAAACAUCGGACAUCGUGCCGAAGGACAUCAUCUCCUCGGCAGGCGGGAGGACAAUGACGCAAGGGCACCGCGCUUCACGGACAGAUUUAGUCUGCCAGUGGAGAAGCGACGUUGCUUUGUGCGAUCCCCCUGAAGAACGACCUGAAGAACCCUCGGGCUAAUGUUGCCGCCAACUGCUGCCCUCUCACCGAUCUACUCGGCGGCAGGGUAUGGGGCUCCAUACCUGGUAUGCGGGAGCUCGUGCCCAGAACAACCGCCAAAUGCGAUGUUAAACAACGCAACGCUCCACGUGGACUGAACACGGCUUGCGAACCUCAGUUUGGUUAGGCCUAGGCGCAGACAGUUGUAACUUGCUGUGCAGGCACGCUUUGGUAAUGAAUUCUGGAUACAUUCAGUUUGUGAUAGCGCCUAUGCAGAUGUCCAUCUGCUCCAUACUCUUAGUAUUUUUUCAUAAUGUGGUCAUUAGUAGAACAAACUUUCUGACUUCAGCUUGCUCGUGUGGGUGGCUGGCCUCUACAUUGUUCAUUAGUCAGUUCUGGAUUAACUUUGUGCACCAUGUAUGUACAUGUAAUAAAUAAAAACCUAAUUUGUCCAUAAAAAUAAAUUGAAACGCAAUGCGCAUCAUAAACGGACCACUGGAACCGCUGCCAAUCGCAUGGGCUCCCUGUUCUGGCGAGCAUCCUGCUGCCAAACAUCUGCGGAAGCGUUCGAAUUGCAAAGGAGUUCACACGUUUUCCUGCCAAUGAUAACCGAUACCCAUCGACCAAGACCUCGGCAAAUGUGUCUCUCCGCCAACUGGGAUCGCGCCGUCAACGAUUUUUAUAAUCUCACCCAGAGCCGGAAGAACAAAGGCAGACGUCUGGAUAAAACGCCUCAUUCGAGACACAAUCAUCGCACCUCCUGCCUUUGCAUUCCUCCUCCAAGACGCUGGCGGUUGUAACCAUUAAGUGCAUCGGAACAUCAACGGGCUGAAGCGCACAUCUCCUACGUGAAUGGAAAGUUAAAGGACGAGCCACAACUGGUGCGACUGUGGCCAUGCAACCCAAACUAUGGACCCAUAUGGUAAACCACUGUAGUCUGCGCUCUUCAAUUAAGCAAUAGCAAGGCACCACCACGAACUCUCUCGUGAGACCCUCUCGUGGCUAUCAGAUCUCUACAUUGGCAUUUAGCUCCUGAACAUAUUGCCAUCCGCCAGAAGAGACAACAAUGUAAUAUGUCUCGUCUAAUUGUUAAAAAUGUUGGACUGUGAGGACCGGCACACAGUGACCUACUCAUUUCAAACUUCACGAGGGUAUUUUUAAUGCCCACUAAGUAAUGGACAGCUUGGGUUCGUACGGUUAAUAUGGCCGCGGUAAUAACCACGGCGGCCUGCCGGAUUCGAACCACGAGCCUCUGCAACAAGAGGCGAAUGCGCUACGGCUCUGGGUUAGUUGGUGCCAGCUUUGUCUGGGUCAGAAGGGGAGGACUCCACAAAUUAGAUCUGGUCUUUCCGAUUGUUACCUGAUCAAUUGUUCUAUAGAUAAUCGGUUUUGGAUUUCUCAACUGGUCAGCAAAAAUGAAAAUAGUUGCGGAAAAAAACGUCUCACCGUGUUCCCAUUUGUGUCACUGGACAAGUUAUCGUGCCCCCCCUUUCUUUGUGUUUAGUUUAUAGGCCUUCCCCCGCACCUCCAAUUAGCGCGGUUGGCUUUCGUAAUGUGCGAAAGGAGUUUCGCAUACAUACGUACAUUAGGAAGCCAUUGGAGCUAUGCACUUCUAAAUCGAGAUUAAAAACUCAUUUUUUUCCAACUCCUUUUUGCGUUUAGUUGGUUU